UACGAAGGGGGCUAGCGUUGCUCGGAAUUACUGGGCGUAAAGCGCGCGCAGGCGGCUAUCCAAGUCAGUGGUGAAAGCCCGGAGCUCAACUCCGGAACUGCCAUUGAAACUGUUUAGCUGGAGUAUGAGAGAGGUGAGUGGAAUUCCCAGUGUAGAGGUGAAAUUCGUAGAUAUUGGGAAGAACACCGGUGGCGAAGGCGGCCAACUGGACCAUCACUGACGCUGAGGCGCGAAAGCGUGGGGAGCAAACAGG
This 253-nucleotide ribosomal RNA is filed under the name uncultured bacterium. RNAcentral describes it as "partial 16S ribosomal RNA". It matches the Rfam family "Bacterial small subunit ribosomal RNA", at positions 524 to 776 of the family's 1533-position model. The record is from RNAcentral.